GCAGGCAUAGCUCAGCUGGUAGAGCGUUUGGCUUCCAACCAAAAGGUCGCGAGUUCGAGGCUCGCUGUCUGCU
This 73-nucleotide transfer RNA is filed under the name Halioglobus sp. HI00S01. It matches the Rfam family "tRNA". From Rfam's summary of the family: Transfer RNA (tRNA) molecules are approximately 80 nucleotides in length. Their secondary structure includes four short double-helical elements and three loops (D, anti-codon, and T loops). Lineage: Bacteria; Pseudomonadati; Pseudomonadota; Gammaproteobacteria; Cellvibrionales; Halieaceae. The record is from Rfam by way of RNAcentral.